AGCAUUCUCUGUUGAAAAGUUGUGCCGUAAGGACGUACAUAAGUCUAAAAGUUCAGUUUCUGGAAAGUACCAGAUAGUGAGUGAGCAACUCUUAGCAGCAGAAGAGUUGCAAUACGUGUGCAAACCUGUUAUACAUACAUAGAUUGUAAUGAAAAAAUGUGAAGGCUGUGAAGAAGAGUGUGAUAUGAUGAGGACGAGCAAAUGGCCUUCGUGACAGAGCGAGUGGUAUGAGUCAUGAGCAACUGCUGUCAAUCAACGCUCACCUGAAGCCUUUGGUCCGGAAUUCACACUCGCUUAAAUGUUCAUAGUAAGCGACAACAGAAAACGUUUUUAGUGGCUUGUGUAGCUGAGGGUUGCUUUGCACAAAGACGACACAUACAUACAUACAUACGCAGUUUUCCUGCUCCUCGAAACGUUAAUGGCAACGAUGAGGAGGAACGGAACACUUGACAAACAGCAAGAGCAACCACAUCAAAUCAGAAAACAUUAAAUCGAUGGGCAAUGAAAUCGAUACCUACCUACCAACCUGCAUCAUCAAUCAAUCCGAUAAUCGUCUGCUUGAUUUUCGUUUUAAUCACUGAGUGAGUCUUCACGUCUGUCCGUCUUCUACAUCCACAAUGGCAGCCAGUUGCACACCAGCCGAUCCUACACAGUUGGCCGAAACAGCAAACUAGCAGCGGCAGCAGCAGCAGCAAACACCACCGAGUCUCCCUUAACCAAAAUGCCAGAUGCAGCUGACAGAUAAAUGGGGACAAGGCGGAAUUGCGCGCGGCAGCAGCAGCUUGAGCUCAACAGCAAACACAUGUGUGUGCCUUAUGCUUCCUGGUCGGUUACCACCAUCACAACAAUCACUACCUACUAUACAUAAAGCGGUUAGCUGUUGCUGACGGCACCUACUACCACCACCAAUCCACACAGAUAUCUCUGCAUACACGCGGUAUUCGUAUAUCAGCUGCGAACGCAAAACAAUUACUUUUUAAAACAGAUUUACAGCAAAAGGAAAUCAUAGAAUGGAAUCUCUUCGUCUUCAACGUGUCGUCGUCGUCGUCGUCGUCGUCGUCAUCAUCAUUAUUAUCUGCAGCUUCAGCAACUUCUGAGCAUCGUCGUAUUCUACUUAUCACUUCACUUCUUUACUUGAGUUUGGUGGCACGUAAGCCGUAUCGAAUUUUUCUUCUUGAUUAACUCUUGAAUUGCAGUUAAGAUAUACAAUGAAAUUCAAUGAACUCUCAUAUCCACACACUCCAAGAAGAGUGGGGGGCUGCACACUUAUCUACAGAUUGAUAGAGGAAUCGGCGGAGUUGGCGAACUUAUCGUAUCGUAAUAUAGGAAGAAGUUUGAUAUUUUGAUUAUCACUAUCGCUAUGUUUAGCAUAAAUACGUGGGCUUCAAUUUUUUUGUAGCGGCGCAUCACAGUUGAACAGUGCCUGUGAGCGUCUGGUUUCAUCAAUGGAAAGUCGCCUCUAUUCCUUGUCUGGUCUGACAGUAUAAGAUCAAGCAGCUUUAAGCGCCCGCCCUGUGGACACCUCUAAGCUUUAGGACACAAAACAUUUCUUGUUUAUACAUGUAUUUUUUAGCGACGUGACGCAGUUGAACGGUGCCUGCGUGCGUCUGCAAGGAUAUGACCAUGACCAAGCAAUACGCAAAUCAUCCAAUAUGUCCAGGCCAUCUUUUCUGUCAAAUCACGUUGCACGUUUAGAAGUACGCCAGGAUUAAAGUCAAGAUAAAGAGCUGGCCAAAAACGCGUAACGUGUUUCUUAUUACCUAACAAGAAAAUAUGUUGCGUUUGUUUCUCUUUUAGCAUGUUGGGCCAAUGGUCUGUUCAUUAAGAGCUGAAACCGAGAAACAAAUUUAUGAACGUUGAUGGAUGGUCAAAAUUCGCAAAAUUCUGGAUAGCGUAAUUUUUACUAUUUCUACUCUUAAUUUGGCUCUUGUAGCCAGCACAACUGUUUCGUAAACGUGUUUAUAUGAUUUCCAGCCAGGCGGCAAACAGAAAAUCUAAACGACAGUGAGGUGGACUUAUUGUCCUGGACAAUGGUCGGAGGAGUGAACCUAUAUCCAUAUAGAAGAAAGACGAAAGACCCAAGCGUAAUUUUGAGAUAUUGCCAAACAAAAAACAUUUCUUUUUGUAUUUUAUAGCAAUAUGACGCAGUUGAACGGUGCCUGCGCAUAUUGGAAGUUGUUAAUCCCCACAAAUAGGGUAAUACUUCUUGUAGUUCAAGCGAGGAAACGCCAUCUAAAGGAUUUUCAUGUAAAUUAUGCGAUUUCCUUUGUGCAAAAUUCUUCCUUUUUGUAUCUUGUAGCUAAGAACCGCAGUUGAAUGUGCCUGGGCAUAUCUGUCGGUAGCUUUCAAAAUGAUAAAGGAGAAAGAAGCCGUGUCGGCGAGGAAGUGAAGACUUUGUUCUUUACCAGGGGCAACCCUUUAAGACAUCAGCAACGAUAAAGGAUUUGUCACAGAAGUUUACUUUCUCUAUACUUUUACCUACAGCUUUUUUUCUAAGCAUGUCAUGUAUUAAUUACAGUGGCGUUGUUUCUUGGUUGCUACCCUCCUGGAAAAAUCGAAUACUUAUAUCAAAAUUCCUUGAGGCAAUGAGAAUGAAAAGCCAACUUGCAAGCAAUAUAACACCGACAGUUGACCGACAUCAUUCCGGUCGAUAGACAACCCUGUCAACUGUGAAGGUCAGCCAGACACUGAAUACACCUUGAAUCGCUUAAAUAUGUUUUGCAGCCUAAGAGAAAAGACGAUCUUGACGUAUUUGCAAACUACAUAAAUGCCAUCACCACAUAUUACCAUCUUUAGAUCGAGGAUAGGCCUGCUUUUGUCACUUGGAACUCAAUUCACGACGUGAGAAACUUGUUCGCUUACCAUUUUUGCUUUGCACUUUCACUUUUGCAGCGAUUUGUGAGGCAGUUGAAUGUGCUUAAAAGUACUGCAAAUUCCGUUUUGGGAACGCUCCGGAGGUACAAUAUGUACACACGAAUUCUCUAUCUUUUCCAACUCUACUAGCUCUCACACUACAAAAUCGUUAAAGGGAAUCAAAAACGAUACAUCAAGUUCAUCCAGCUAGGUACAGUCUUCAAACAAUGCCAGCACCACAACAACAAAAUGUAUAACAACAACUGCUCCCAGCUGCCUUUUGAAGGCCAAUGCGAGUCGAGAGUCGAGUCCAGCCAGAUAGCCGCUGAAUCACAAAUACAGAUACAGAUCCAAGUAGAUCGAUUUGUGUCUCGUACAAUUUAACGUUUUUACAUUACAGAAACGUAAGCUGCACGAUAUUGGGCAACGACGAUAGUCGUCUACUGGCUAAUGGCUAGUUGGUAGUUGAUGCACUCCAGCUCCUACGCACUCACGACCCGACCCGACCACUUGAACACAAGGCGCGGACUCUAUUCCCCUCUAUUGAGGAGGCAUCACAGCGUAGCUCUGCCAAGACGAGGCUGGGUCAGCUCUCAGUCCAGCACGUAAUGCAUUGCACCGCAUAGAAAUAUGCGCUCGGUCCGCGCUAAAGGGAAACAAAUGCGUUUGGACCGAGACCCGCCACACCACACAAUCACCAGCACUCGCUUAAGAGGCGAGCUGAUGUGUUGUCGUUGUUAUCGGGCAGCUGCCUGCAAGUACGCUACCGGCUCUCAAGCAUCGUCGUCGUCGUCGUCGUCUUCACGGUCGCCGUCGCCUCGUUCUCGCUUUCAGCAUUUUGUGCGCCCUGCAAGCCAAGUGUAUGUAUAUUGUAGUAUAUAGUAGAAGCAGCUAUGAAGCUAUGAACGAUCCGGCCUGAGGAAUUCGUGCUCGUGGCUUAUCGCAAAAGGGAAUCAAAUGCGACUAGUGUUCCAAGCGUCAGAAGCAAUCAGAAUCCUGUGCAGCAGCAGUCGCGACAGAUGGCAGCGAUCAAGAGAUCGAAGAACAGGCCAGACGGCGGUGGUGGUAUUCAACUGGUUCUAUAAUCUGUUGUGUAACUUAUCCGCCUACUCCCAUUUCCUAGGUCGCACAUAUUUUUAACAGAAUGUAACCCCCCGGUAAUCAAUCAAAUCCAUCGCAAAGGGAAUCAAAUGCGAUUAGUGUUCGAUGACGAAGAAGCUAGCUAGUUAAAUCAGCUCUACGCUACGCUUCGAUUUGCCAGUUGAGCGCUUAACUCCUGGUGCACCGUUCAACAUUCCGCAAAUGGGAAACAAUUGCGAGGUGGUACUGCAGCAACGCACACACACACAGACACACUCACGCACACAUAUGCGGGAUUUCCUGUUAUGUGGCGGCCAAGAACGAGCAUCCGAAUCCUCAAGAUGAAGAGCGCACCACUCAGCGAGCGAGUGAACGAGCAAGCAGGCAGGCAGGGAAUCGAUGCCAGCAUCAAUUUGACUAGCUGAUCCUUCUCCAUUUUGUUGUUGUUGUUGUUGGCGUUUAAUUGUUUUUUCAGAUAACUACUUUUCCAACCUGGUCGACUGUCAGUCUGUCCAGACAUCAUACAUCAAGUUGUUCUCGAAGGGAAUCCAUGAGACACGCGCUACAUAUAUAUUCUGUAUCUUGUUUUUGCUUUUGUUUUUUUUCUUUUUCUUUUAUCUCAGUUAUGUAUUUUAGAUCAUACGAUGAAGUAUGUAGCCUUCCAUGAAGCACUGUCAAAAAUGAAAAUCUUCUGGCCUAGAGCCAUUGUCAACUAUAUUAAUGUAUAUUGUACAGCCAUGCAAAUGGGCUAUAACAUGUUGUUAAAAAUUGUAAAAGUUUUCUAUACUGGUAUUGUAAGAUUGAAUUGUAUUUGUAUUAUUGUAAAACUGUGACAUGUACAUAUUAGUAUGGCUUAAGAAACGUGGCAGGGACGACUCGUUCGUAGAUGAGCUCGACAGACGAGGAUCCCUGAUGAUGGCCUACUACCCGCCCGUAAUGAGAGAGAGUGAAGGAGCGACUUGAAUGAAACAACUUCAUUUCUCUACGGGCCUACCCAUUCCUUUGUCGUCUAUCGAUCUUCAGGGGCUUUCGCUGAGAGGGGACGGGACGGGACGAGACAAUCAACCGUUCAAAUUUGGCUGGCAGAGAUAGCUACAACUGGGCAAACUUUUGAUUAUAACCUGAUCGACAAAAUUCAACCAUCCACCACCCCAUGUGCUGAGAUUGAAUCUCAUCCGA
Molecule: long non-coding RNA, 5112 nt
Organism: Drosophila navojoa
Lineage: Eukaryota; Metazoa; Arthropoda; Insecta; Diptera; Drosophilidae
Source: RefSeq, a predicted model, not a curated record